AUUGAACGCUGGCGGCAUGCCUUACACAUGCAAGUCGAACGGCAGCACGGGUGCUUGCACCUGGUGGCGAGUGGCGAACGGGUGAGUAAUACAUCGGAACAUGUCCUGUAGUGGGGGAUAGCCCGGCGAAAGCCGGAUUAAUACCGCAUACGAUCUACGGAUGAAAGCGGGGGACCUUCGGGCCUCGCGCUAUAGGGUUGGCCGAUGGCUGAUUAGCUAGUUGGUGGGGUAAAGGCCUACCAAGGCGACGAUCAGUAGCUGGUCUGAGAGGACGACCAGCCACACUGGGACUGAGACACGGCCCAGACUCCUACGGGAGGCAGCAGUGGGGAAUUUUGGACAAUGGGCGAAAGCCUGAUCCAGCAAUGCCGCGUGUGUGAAGAAGGCCUUCGGGUUGUAAAGCACUUUUGUCCGGAAAGAAAUCCUUGGCCCUAAUACGGUCGGGGGAUGACGGUACCGUAAGAAUAAGCACCGGCUAACUACGUG
This 486-nucleotide ribosomal RNA is filed under the name uncultured bacterium. Its description in RNAcentral is "partial 16S ribosomal RNA". It matches the Rfam family "Bacterial small subunit ribosomal RNA", at positions 30 to 507 of the family's 1533-position model. The record is from RNAcentral.